GACGAACGCUGGCGGCGUGCCUAAUACAUGCAAGUAGGACGCUGAAGAGAGGAGCUUGCUCUUCUUGGAUGAGUUGCGAACGGGUGAGUAACGCGUAGGUAACCUGCCUUGUAGCGGGGGAUAACUAUUGGAAACGAUAGCUAAUACCGCAUAACAAUGGAUGACACAUGUCAUUUAUUUGAAAGGGGCAAUUGCUCCACUACAAGAUGGACCUGCGUUGUAUUAGCUAGUAGGUGAGGUAACGGCUCACCUAGGCGACGAUACAUAGCCGACCUGAGAGGGUGAUCGGCCACACUGGGACUGAGACACGGCCCAGACUCCUACGGGAGGCAGCAGUAGGGAAUCUUCGGCAAUGGGGGCAACCCUGACCGAGCAACGCCGCGUGAGUGAAGAAGGUUGUCGGAUCGUAAAGCUCUGUUGUAAGUCAAGAACGAGUGUGAGAGUGGAAAGUUCACACUGUGACGGUAGCUUACCAGAAAGGGACGGCUAACUACGUG
Molecule: ribosomal RNA, 497 nt
Filed under: uncultured bacterium
Lineage: Bacteria
Description: partial 16S ribosomal RNA
Rfam family: Bacterial small subunit ribosomal RNA
Source: RNAcentral